RNAcentral lists this long non-coding RNA (216 nucleotides) under Marmota monax (woodchuck). Lineage: Eukaryota; Metazoa; Chordata; Mammalia; Rodentia; Sciuridae. The record is from RNAcentral.
CUAGAAAUAACAGCAUCUAAAGUAAAGACUUAGUGACUACUAGAUUAUCCUUAGGUCUCUGCAUUAACUCUAUAAUGCUCUUGCUAUUUAAAAAAAAGCAUAUUUGUCACAGAAAUUUAGUUCACAUCUUACAACUGAACAUUUAUGUAUGUUGCUUAGAUAAAUAAUCAUUGUAAAUUCCUAUAUGAUCUUGAGUUUUUUAAAAUUUUGAAAUGG